RNAcentral lists this ribosomal RNA (726 nucleotides) under Triticum aestivum (bread wheat). Its description in RNAcentral is "partial small subunit ribosomal RNA". Lineage: Eukaryota; Viridiplantae; Streptophyta; Magnoliopsida; Poales; Poaceae. The record is from RNAcentral.
AUGGGGUUGCUAGCUCUGAAGAUGCUCAUGUCUAGGCGGCGGGAUAGCAAGCAUCUUUGCGGCCAGAUUCAAGCCCGUAAUAGAUUGGUUACUUCAGUGGUUAAAAGAAAGAUCUCUUCAUGCCAACACAAUAACAAUCAAGGUUGCAAGAGAGUGGCAUUUUCAGGGGCAGACCUUCCAGAGGUGGUCAAUACACCAAUCGUGCCUGUAAAAUUCCUCCACCUCAAGUAUCUGUCUAUUUCUCUUGAAGGAAAUGGGGCUUUUUCCCCAGACUAUGAUUACUUUUCUCUGGUUUCUUUGCUGGAUGCUUGUCCUGUCUUGGAAACUUUCAACUUGUUUGUGUCACAGGAUCGCAUGAAACACGAUUCGGUUCUUGGAGACCCGUCGUCACGUCUUAGGCAGAUGCCUGAAUACCGCCACGACAACAUUAAGAAUGUGAAGAUUAUUGGGUUUUGCUCUGCGAAGAGCAUGGUCGAGCUGGCAUGCCAUAUUCUCGAGAAUGCAACAUCACUCGAGUGCCUUACUUUGGACACGAUACGUGCUGUUUUUAGUAUUGACAGACACAUUCACAAAACCGGUGAAUGUGGCCACAUAGGCAGGCAUAUGAUCAGAGAAGCACGUAAGGCGCUCUUGGCUGUCAAAAGAUAUAUUGUGGGAAUAGUUCCCUCCACAGUCAAGUUAAAUGUCCUGGAGCCUUGCAAGCUAUGCCAUGCUUUGGCUGUUUAG